AACAGAAAACAAAAGAGAACCGCCUAAAGAAGAAGAAGCAAAAGGAAGAACAGAAUUCAGACCCCAAAAGGCCAAAGAAGCCAGCUUCUUCAUUCUUUCUUUUCAGGAAAGAAAUGAGGAAGGAACUUCUGCUGGAAAGACCAGGCACCAGCUACUCCACUCUUAAUACUCUGAUUUCAGUAAAAUGGAA
Telopea speciosissima is the source of this 190-nucleotide long non-coding RNA. RefSeq lists it as uncharacterized. The transcript has 2 exons. The record is from RefSeq and is a predicted model, not a curated record. NCBI's taxonomy places the organism in Eukaryota, Viridiplantae, Streptophyta, Magnoliopsida, Proteales, Proteaceae.